UACGUAGGGUGCAAGCGUUAAUCGGAAUUACUGGGCGUAAAGCGUGCGCAGGCGGUUAUGCAAGACAGAUGUGAAAUCCCCGGGCUUAACCUGGGAACUGCAUUUGUGACUGCAUCGCUGGAGUGCGGCAGAGGGGGAUGGAAUUCCGCGUGUAGCAGUGAAAUGCGUAGAUAUGCGGAGGAACACCGAUGGCGAAGGCAAUCCCCUGGGCUUGCACUGACGCUCAUGCACGAAAGCGUGGGGAGCAAACAGG
Molecule: ribosomal RNA, 253 nt
Filed under: uncultured bacterium
Lineage: Bacteria
Description: partial 16S ribosomal RNA
Rfam family: Bacterial small subunit ribosomal RNA
Source: RNAcentral